Molecule: ribosomal RNA, 1369 nt
Filed under: uncultured bacterium
Lineage: Bacteria
Description: bacterial SSU rRNA
Rfam family: Bacterial small subunit ribosomal RNA
Source: RNAcentral
GAUAAACGCUGGCGGCGUGCCUAAUACAUGCAAGUCGAGCGAACGGACGAGAAGCUUGCUUCUCUGAUGUUAGCGGCGGACGGGUGAGUAACACGUGGAUAACCUACCUAUAAGACUGGGAUAACUUCGGGAAACCGGAGCUAAUACCGGAUAAUAUUUUGAACCGCAUGGUUCAAAAGUGAAAGACGGUCUUGCUGUCACUUAUAGAUGGAUCCGCGCUGCAUUAGCUAGUUGGUAAGGUAACGGCUUACCAAGGCAACGAUGCAUAGCCGACCUGAGAGGGUGAUCGGCCACACUGGAACUGAGACACGGUCCAGACUCCUACGGGAGGCAGCAGUAGGGAAUCUUCCGCAAUGGGCGAAAGCCUGACGGAGCAACGCCGCGUGAGUGAUGAAGGUCUUCGGAUCGUNAAACUCUGUUAUUAGGGAAGAACAUAUGUGUAAGUAACUGUGCACAUCUUGACGGUACCUAAUCAGAAAGCCACGGCUAACUACGUGCCAGCAGCCGCGGGUAUACGUAGGUGGCAAGCGUUAUCCGAAUUAUUGGGCGUAAAGCGCGCGUAGCGGUUUUUUAGUCUGAUGUGAAAGCCCACGGCUCAACCGUGGAGGGUCAUUGGAAACUGGAAAACUUGAGUGCAGAAGAGGAAAGUGGAAUUCCAUGUGUAGCGGUGAAAUGCGCAGAGAUAUGGAGGAACACCAGUGGCGAAGGCGACUUUCUGGUCUGUAACUGACGCUGAUGUGCGAAAGCGUGGGGAUCAAACAGGAUUAGAUACCCUGGUAGUCCACGCCGUAAACGAUGAGUGCUAAGUGUUAGGGGGUUUCCGCCCCUUAGUGCUGCAGCUAACGCAUUAAGCACUCCGCCUGGGGAGUACGACCGCAAGGUUGAAACUCAAAGGAAUUGACGGGGACCCGCACAAGCGGUGGAGCAUGUGGUUUAAUUCGAAGCAACGCGAAGAACCUUACCAAAUCUUGACAUCCUUUGACAACUCUAGAGAUAGAGCCUUCCCCUUCGGGGGACAAAGUGACAGGUGGUGCAUGGUUGUCGUCAGCUCGUGUCGUGAGAUGUUGGGUUAAGUCCCGCAACGAGCGCAACCCUUAAGCUUAGUUGCCAUCAUUAAGUUGGGCACUCUAAGUUGACUGCCGGUGACAAACCGGAGGAAGGUGGGGAUGACGUCAAAUCAUCAUGCCCCUUAUGAUUUGGGCUACACACGUGCUACAAUGGACAAUACAAAGGGCAGCGAAACCGCGAGGUCAAGCAAAUCCCAUAAAGUUGUUCUCAGUUCGGAUUGUAGUCUGCAACUCGACUACAUGAAGCUGGAAUCGCUAGUAAUCGUAGAUCAGCAUGCUACGGUGAAUACGUUCCCGGGUCU